RNAcentral lists this ribosomal RNA (498 nucleotides) under uncultured bacterium. RNAcentral describes it as "partial 16S ribosomal RNA". It matches the Rfam family "Bacterial small subunit ribosomal RNA", at positions 30 to 523 of the family's 1533-position model. The record is from RNAcentral.
AUUGAACGCUGGCGGCAUGCCUUACACAUGCAAGUCGAACGGUAACAGGUCUUCGGAUGCUGACGAGUGGCGAACGGGGGAGUAAUACAUCGGAACGUGCCCGAUCGUGGGGGAUAACGAAGCGAAAGCUUUGCUAAUACCGCAUAAGAUCUACGGAUGAAAGCAGGGGACCGCAAGGCCUUGCGCGAACGGAGCGGCCGAUGGCAGAUUAGGUAGUUGGUGGGAUAAAAGCUUACCAAGCCGACGAUCUGUAGCUGGUCUGAGAGGACGACCAGCCACACUGGGACUGAGACACGGCCCAGACUCCUACGGGAGGCAGCAGUGGGGAAUUUUGGACAAUGGGCGAAAGCCUGAUCCAGCCAUGCCGCGUGCAGGAUGAAGGCCUUCGGGUUGUAAACUGCUUUUGUACGGAACGAAAAGACUCUUUCUAAUAAAGAGGGUCCAUGACGGUACCGUAAGAAUAAGCACCGGCUAACUACGUGCCAGCAGCCGCCGCCG